This 348-nucleotide ribosomal RNA is filed under the name uncultured bacterium. RNAcentral describes it as "bacterial SSU rRNA". It matches the Rfam family "Bacterial small subunit ribosomal RNA", at positions 8 to 349 of the family's 1533-position model. The record is from RNAcentral.
AGAGUUUGAUCAUGGCUCAGGAUGAACGCUAGCUACAGGCUUAACACAUGCAAGUCGAGGGGAAACGACAUCGAAAGCUUGCUUUUGAUGGGCGUCGACCGGCGCACGGGUGAGUAACGCGUAUCCAACCUGCCCACCACUUGGGGAUAACCUUGCGAAAGUAAGACUAAUACCCAAUGAUAUCUCUAGAAGACAUCUGAAAGAGAUUAAAGAUUUAUCGGUGAUGGAUGGGGAUGCGUCUGAUUAGCUUGUUGGCGGGUAACGGCCACAGGCGACGAUCAGUAGGGUUCUGAGAGGAACGGUCCCCCANAUUGGAACUGAGACACGGUCCAAACUCCUACGGGAGCA